This 484-nucleotide ribosomal RNA is filed under the name uncultured bacterium. RNAcentral describes it as "partial 16S ribosomal RNA". It matches the Rfam family "Bacterial small subunit ribosomal RNA", at positions 30 to 507 of the family's 1533-position model. The record is from RNAcentral.
AUUGAACGCUGGCGGUAUGCUUUACACAUGCAAGUCGAGCGGCAGCGCGGCCUUCGGGCUGGCGGCGAGCGGCGAACGGGUGAGUAAUGCAUCGGAACAUGCCCAGUCGUGGGGGAUAACACUUCGAAAGAAGUGCUAAUACCGCAUACGUCCUGAGGGGGAAAGCGGGGGAUCGCAAGACCUCGCGCGAUUGGAGUGGCCGAUGUCAGAUUAGCUAGUUGGUGGGGUAAAGGCCUACCAAGGCGACGAUCUGUAGCUGGUCUGAGAGGAUGAUCAGCCACACUGGGACUGAGACACGGCCCAGACUCCUACGGGAGGCAGCAGUGGGGAAUUUUGGACAAUGGGGGCAACCCUGAUCCAGCCAUUCCGCGUGAGUGAAGAAGGCCUUCGGGUUGUAAAGCUCUUUCGGCAGGAACGAAACGGUGGGCUCUAACAUAGUCCGCUAAUGACGGUACCUGAAGAAGAAGCACCGGCUAACUACGUG